This is a non-coding RNA of Acanthosepion pharaonis, 113 nucleotides long. The record is from the annotation of a GenBank genome assembly. NCBI's taxonomy places the organism in Eukaryota, Metazoa, Mollusca, Cephalopoda, Sepiida, Sepiidae.
AACGGUCACAUCACGUUGAAACACUAGUUCUCGUAGGAUCACCGAAGUUAAGCAACAUCAAGCCUGGUUAGUACCUUGAUGGGUGAGCGUUUGGAAGUACCAGGAGCUGUAAG